CGUCGCGACGGCGCACGGGUGAGUAACACGUAUCCAACCUGCCGAUGACUCGGGGAUAGCCUUUCGAAAGAAAGAUUAAUACCCGAUGGCAUAGUUCUUCCGCAUGGUAGAACUAUUAAAGAAUUUCGGUCAUCGAUGGGGAUGCGUUCCAUUAGCUUGUUGGCGGGGUAACGGCCCACCAAGGCAUCGAUGGAUAGGGGUUCUGAGAGGAAGGUCCCCCACAUUGGAACUGAGACACGGUCCAAACUCCUACGGAAGGCAGCAG
This 265-nucleotide ribosomal RNA is filed under the name uncultured bacterium. RNAcentral describes it as "partial 16S ribosomal RNA". It matches the Rfam family "Bacterial small subunit ribosomal RNA", at positions 88 to 354 of the family's 1533-position model. The record is from RNAcentral.